This 510-nucleotide ribosomal RNA is filed under the name uncultured bacterium. RNAcentral describes it as "partial 16S ribosomal RNA". It matches the Rfam family "Bacterial small subunit ribosomal RNA", at positions 28 to 507 of the family's 1533-position model. The record is from RNAcentral.
GACGAACGCUGGCGGCGUGCUUAACACAUGCAAGUCGAACGAAGAGCGAUGGAAGCUUGCUUCUAUCAAUCUUAGUGGCGAACGGGUGAGUAACGCGUAAUCAACCUGUCCUUCAGAGGGGGACAACAGUUGGAAACGACUGCUAAUACCGCAUACGAUUUAAACUCGGCAUCGAGGAUAGAUGAAAGGUGGCCUCUACAUGUAAGCUAGCACUGAAGGAGGGGAAUGCGUCUGAUUAGCUAGUUGGUGGGGUAACGGCCUACCCAAGCGAUGAUCAGUAGCCGGUCUGAGAGGAUGGACGGCCCCAUUGGGACUGGGACACGGCCCAGACUCCUACGGGAGGCAGCAGUGGGGAAUCUUCCGCAAUGGACGGAAGUCUGACGGGGCAACGCCGCGUGAGUGAUGACGGCCUUCGGGUUGUAAAGCUCUGUUAAUCGGGACGAAAGGCCUUCUUGCGAAUAGUGGGAAGGAUUGACGGUACCGGAAUAGAAAGCCACGGCUAACUACGUG